RNAcentral lists this ribosomal RNA (716 nucleotides) under uncultured bacterium. Its description in RNAcentral is "bacterial SSU rRNA". It matches the Rfam family "Bacterial small subunit ribosomal RNA", at positions 1 to 703 of the family's 1533-position model. The record is from RNAcentral.
UCGAUUGAGUUUGAUCCUGGCUCAGAUUGAACGCUGGCGGAAUGCUUACACAUGCAAGUCGAGCGGCAGCGCGGGGCAACCUGGCGGCGAGCGGCGAACGGGUGAGUAACAUAUCGGAACGUAUCCUGAAAUGGGGGAUAGCCCGGCGAAAGCCGGAUUAAUACCGCAUACGAUCCCUGGAUGAGAAUCCGGGAAUGAAAGCAGGGGACCGCAGGGCCUUGCGUUUCUGGAGCGGCCGAUAUCUGAUUAGCUAGUUGGCGGGGUAAAGGCCCACCAAGGCGAUGAUCAGUAGCUGGUCUGAGAGGAUGAUCAGCCACACUGGGACUGAGACACGGCCCAGACUCCUACGGGAGGCAGCAGUGGGGAAUUUUGGACAAUGGGGGAAACCCUGAUCCAGCCAUUCCGCGUGAGUGAAGAAGGCCUUCGGGUUGUAAAGCUCUUUCAGCCGGAAAGAAAUGGUUACGGAUAAUACCUGUGACUACUGACGGUACCGGAAGAAGAAGCACCGGCUAACUACGUGCCAGCAGCCGCGGUAAUACGUAGGGUGCGAGCGUUAAUCGGAAUUACUGGGCGUAAAGCGUGCGCAGGCGGUUUGUUAAGACAGGUGUGAAAUCCCCGGGCUCAACCUGGGAAUGGCGCUUGUAACUGGCAAGCUAGAGUGUGUCAGAGGGAGGUAGAAUUCCACGUGUAGCAGUGAAAUGCGUAGAGAUGUGGAG